GUGUUUGGUUCAGCAGCAUAUAUGCUAAAAUUGGAACGAUACAGAGAAGAUUAGCAUGGCCCCUGCAUAAGGAAGACACGCAAAUUUGUGAAAUGUUACAUAUUUUU
Lemur catta (Ring-tailed lemur) is the source of this 107-nucleotide small nuclear RNA. Lineage: Eukaryota; Metazoa; Chordata; Mammalia; Primates; Lemuridae. The record is from RefSeq and is a predicted model, not a curated record.